RNAcentral lists this ribosomal RNA (940 nucleotides) under uncultured bacterium. Its description in RNAcentral is "bacterial SSU rRNA". It matches the Rfam family "Bacterial small subunit ribosomal RNA", at positions 384 to 1342 of the family's 1533-position model. The record is from RNAcentral.
UGAUCCAGCAACGCCGCGUGAGGGAAGAAGGCCUUCGGGUUGUAAACCUCUUUUACCAGGGACGAAGGACGUGACGGUACCUGGAGAAAAAGCAACGGCUAACUACGUGCCAGCAGCCGCGGUAAUACGUAGGUUGCAAGCGUUGUCCGGAUUUACUGGGUGUAAAGGGCGUGUAGGCGGAGAUGCAAGUUGGGAGUGAAAUCCCGGGGCUCAACCCCGGAACUGCUUUCAAAACUGUAUCCCUUGAGUAUCGGAGAGGCAAGCGGAAUUCCUAGUGUAGCGGUGAAAUGCGUAGAUAUUAGGAGGAACACCAGUGGCGAAGGCGGCUUGCUGGACGACAACUGACGCUGAGGCGCGAAAGCGUGGGGAGCAAACAGGAUUAGAUACCCUGGUAGUCCACGCUGUAAACGAUGAAUACUAGGUGUGGGAGGACUGACCCCUUCCGUGCCGCAGUUAACACAAUAAGUAUUCCACCUGGGGAGUACGACCGCAAGGUUGAAACUCAAAGGAAUUGACGGGGGCCCGCACAAGCAGUGGAUUAUGUGGUUUAAUUCGACGCAACGCGAAGAACCUUACCAGGAUUUGACAUCCAACUAACGAAGCAGAGAUGCAUUAGGUGCCCUUCGGGGAAAGUUGAGACAGGUGGUGCAUGGUUGUCGUCAGCUCGUGUCGUGAGAUGUUGGGUUAAGUCCCGCAACGAGCGCAACCCCUAUUGUUAGUUGCUACGAAAGAGCACUCUAGCGAGACUGCCGUUGACAAAACGGAGGAAGGCGGGGACGACGUCAAAUCAUCAUGCCCCUUAUGACCUGGGCUACACACGUGCUACAAUGGACGGUACAACGAGUUGCGAAGUCGUGAGGCUAAGCUAAUCUCUUAAAGCCGUUCUCAGUUCGGAUUGUAGGCUGCAACUCGCCUACAUGAAGUUGGAAUCGCUAGUAAU